UUUCUGCCUCUCCCCAUCCUCCUCACUCACUUCCUACUACUUCCCAGUAUCAAAGAGCAUGUAAGAAAGGACAGCAUUUGGACGGGCAGGGCUCUUCAGCCCCUGCUUUGCUCUUUUCUAGGUACCUCUUCUUCUUCCUUGAAAGCCAUUGUCCCUUUAAUCAAUGUGACACAGCCCUUUGAAAACAGCCUCCUUGCUCUUGGAAGUUGGCAGGGGAAAAAAGGCAGGAAUUCAUUUGCAGGAGAGAAAGCAUCGUUAAAAAUGCCCUAUUUAGGGAAAGCUUCAGAGCCAAGACUAGGUGUAUGUUCUCAUUAUUUCACAUGUUGUCAGAGUAACCAGUACAGUGAAAAGACAGCCUUUUGAAGAAAACAAGUUUGUGGAAAGUGCUUAAUUAAGGUAGGAGGACAUUUUAUUGAAAUUAUUUAUAUUUGCUAUUAAUAUUUUUGACAUUUUAUGUUUAUGCAGCAAUAAAUAAAAUACAUGUGAGUUUAUUGCAUCCAAAACUUUACUUCUAAUUUCCUACAACUGUAUGCCAAAGCCCUUGUAAAUUCUAUGUCUUUUGCAAGAAGUUUUGGACUAUCUACUGUAUUCUUUAUGUUUCUGUGUAGUUGACUGAUUUUUUAACUAUAACUGGGAUCUCAUUUGCAAAAAUUGUUAACUUACAUAUAGUAUGUUAAAAGAUUUUCUAAUGUGUUUAUCGAUCAAAGGUAAGCUUAACUUUUUCUCUAUAUGAUACCUAACACCCAUAGGAUAAAACAUUUGAUUUUAUAGUGAUGAUUACUACCGUCAUUCAUUUUAUUUACUGUUCCUGUUUCUAAUUUUGAAAAUAUCAAGCCUGUAGAAAAGUUGCAAUAAGGGCCCUUCAAUUAGACUUAAUAGUUGUUAACAUUCAGUUGUCUGAGAGUUAAUUGCAGACAUCAUGACACUCACUGCCAAAUACUUCAACAUUUCUCUCCUUAAAGGAGAACAUUCUCCCACAAACCGCAAUAUAAUUAUCACUAAAAUAAUUAACAUGGAUACAAUGCAAUUAUCUAAACCCACUACAUAAUCAAAUUUCCAGAGUUGUCCCAAUGAAAUCCUUCUUCCAUGCCCCUUCUUUCAAAAUCCAAUAAAGAAUCAUACAUUGCAUUUAGUUUUCAAGUCUGUCUAUCCUCCUUUAAUCUAAAGUAGUUCCCAGCUUUUAAAAAAUUUCAUGAUAUUGAUAUUUUUACAGUCCAAACCAUUGUUUUACACACUAUCCCCUAAAAUGAGCAUUUUCUCAUAAUUAAAUUCAGGUGAAAUAUUUAUGGCAGGACUAAUACACACGAGAUGCUGUGUCCUCCACGGAACAGCCUGUCAGAAGUACAUGACGUCAGUGUACCCUUGUUUGAAGAAUUUAGUUUGAUUACUUGGUUAAGGCAUGUCUGCUGAAUUUCUUCAUUGUAAAGAUGCUCUUUUCUUUUUGUGAUUAACAAGUAAUCUAUGGGGCAAUACUUUGAGACUGUGCAAAUAUCUUGCUCUCCAGUGAUUCUAACCCUGAUGGUUUUGGCAUCCAUGAAUUCAUAUUGCUUGAAUCAAUCAUUACUAUAGUGUCAGCAAACGAUUUUCUAAUUUCAUCAUUUCUUCUAUAUUUAUUAGUUAUGUUUCUAUAAAAAAGAGCUUUUCAUUCAUUUUCUCUUCAGCACUUGAAAUUACUAUUUUGAGGUAUCAUUAAGAGCUAGUGGAUUCCUUCUUUGUUUAAUGUGUUGUAAUUUAUUUCACUUAUUAUUUGUUAUAAUGCACAAAUUGUCCCAAAUUUGGCAGUGGAAGCCCUGCUAAGCUCUGCUCUUCAUUUCAAUUGCCCUAUCCACUUAACUUCGUCAUUGGAAAUUGGUUUUCAAGCACUUUUAAAUAAACUUUAGUCUAUUUGUAGUGAUACUUCAACCCCUUAUCAAAUUUAUUUUUACCUGUGAAAAAUCAUAUGUUUCAGCUCCAACAUGUCAAGAACUUGGAAGUUUUCACUCCUGUCAUUAUAAGAUGAAAAUUAAACAUACUGAACACCAUUACCUUUCUCAGGCCCAGUAGAGGCCUGAGGUCACAUGUUGAAUUGCCACCUCCAAACCAGGCAAAUUCAGAGUUACUACCAAGAUCUGCUUACCUGGAGCAGAAGUUCUAGCAAUAAGUUUAUAGUAACACUUACACGGCAAACUUGAUGAAUUGUACGUGCUGAGUGUGGAUGAGCAUAUGGAUGAGAAACUCCUAAGGAAUACAGUGUUAGCCUCCCCCCCAACCCCCCCACCCCGCAACCCCCACCCGCCAACUUUCUUGGACUUUGCCUUCAGGAACUCCACCAGAUUCUUAUGGUACAGUCAAGAAAGAUCCCCUUGUUGCUUUGGCACAAGGGGGAAAAAGUGACUUACCCAAAGCAAUCACCAUACAAAGGUUCACCUUCCAGGGUAAAAGAUAUUACUAGAGCCUUAUCCCAACUGAGAGAAGAGCAUCUACUCCUCUCUAGCUCUUUCUAGCCACCUUGUUUCAUAUAAGUGGGGAGUAAAGCUAAGAAAUACUUGUUAAGGUCACGGCUGAGUGAUACAGACCCAUGUAAAGACUGAGAUUUAAUUAUAAAAUUAUAGAAUGCUCCUUCCCCCUCUGCCCCAACACCUUACCAACACACCAACACACCAACAGAACACAGUAUAACAAAGAAUUACAGCUGAAAGAGGCACAGGACACAGACUGUCUCUGAGGAGGAGUUCUUAGGGAAACAAAAAAAAAGAAAAGAAAAAAAAAAAACCACAGGGGCGAAAAGAGCAAUAGAGGAAUUUGAAACCUCUGGUAUGUACAAGUAUAGAAAACAUUAAACACAGCCCAACUCCUAGCCAGAUUAGCCUAAAACCUUAUACUAAAGGCCAAUUACAAAGCAUGCUAAAUGGCAAGAGAAAAACCCAUAUAACAAAGAGUCCUCUUUUUAUGAACAUAUUUUCCACCUUCAGUUGAAUUAAGAUGGAAUCGCACAGAAAAAUCCUUUGUUAUAUUUGUGCUCUAAAAUUUCAUACGCAACAUCUGAUUUAUGACUACAAAGAUCAAUACAAUGGCUCAUACAACAUGAGGAAAAUUUAAUUAAUAAUUCAGUACUGGAGCAAACAAGAAGUGCAAUUAAAGAAAUACCAUUAUAAAGACUUGUCAGUCGAACAAAAGCUGACUGUUUUCCUUAGGAAUGGAGAAACUAAAACGAAAUAUUUGCAUUGAAAAGACCUGCUGGUUUUAUGGUCACAUCUGCUAACCAGUCUGCAUCCUUGGCUCACAAAGAUCCCCAUGACUGCUAAAAAAAAAAAAAAGCGAUGCUUUCAAAAACAUUUCCCCUUCAUGUAACCUAGCAUAUUUCAGCAGUCUGUGUUCCCAAAACUUGUGGUUGAAAAAAUCUCAACUUCAUGCCUACAUUUCCUGAAAAGAAGAUCAGCCCAGGAGUGAAUCAGUAACACAUGAAGCUUGCUCUCCAGACACAAAUAGAAAUACAUAUCAGAAAAAACACUGGCAUAAAGAUGACAGAAACCUCAUCAUGUUGAGUUGAGAAGUCAAUCCUAUUACUAGUUAACAGAGAUUGAGCGUCCUUUGGCAUUAGAUGGUGCCAACACCAUUGCUAGGUGCUGUAGAGAACAUAGAAUUAGACAAAGUUCUUGCCCAAGGGGUUCAUAAUCAAAUCAGACAAACCAGACACUAACACAGUCCAGCAGUCUGGAGUGGAGAGAGUUGAGUUUACAUGGGGAACCUAAGGUCAUUCUGUACAUGAGAAUUCUAAGUUUCACUCCAACUCUCUUGUGUCAGAAAAGUCUGGGGAAAAACCUUUGACAUACUAUCAUAUGAUUUCCAUUUCAACAUCACCCAGGAAGCCUGUUUUGCAAAGGAGUACAGUUGAGUUUUCACUUGUCAUGUAACGGGAUUCAGAACACAUUAUUUGAAGCUAUUGGCCUAGUUUAUUAGAGAAGGAAGGAAAAACCCACAAGGCCAGAGUUACUAUGAGG
Molecule: long non-coding RNA, 3980 nt
Organism: Papio anubis (olive baboon)
Lineage: Eukaryota; Metazoa; Chordata; Mammalia; Primates; Cercopithecidae
Source: Ensembl